AAGCGGUGGAGCAUGUGUUAAUUCGACGCAACGCGAAGAACCUUACCAGGGCUUGACAUCCCCUGACCGCGUAUGAAAGUACGUUUUCACCCUCGGGUGACAGGGAGACAGGUGGUGCAUGGUUGUCGUCAGCUCGUGUCGUGAGAUGUUGGGUUAAGUCCCGCAACGAGCGCAACCCCUACGUUUAGUUGCUAACGCGUGAAGGCGAGCACUCUAGACGAACUGCCGUUGACAAAACGGAGGAAGGUGGGAUGACGUCAAAUCAUCAUGCCCCUUAUGUUCUGGGCUACACACGUGCUACAAUGGCCGGUACAGACGGACGCAAAGCCGCGAGGUGGAGCAAAUCCUAAAAAGCCGGUCUCAGUUCGGAUUGCAGGCUGCAAUUCGCCUGCAUGAAGUCGGAAUCGCUAGUAAUCGCAGGUCAGCAUACUGCGGUGAAUACGUUCCCGGGCCUU
This 455-nucleotide ribosomal RNA is filed under the name uncultured Pelotomaculum sp. Its description in RNAcentral is "bacterial SSU rRNA". It matches the Rfam family "Bacterial small subunit ribosomal RNA", at positions 927 to 1382 of the family's 1533-position model. The record is from RNAcentral. Lineage: Bacteria; Bacillati; Bacillota; Clostridia; Eubacteriales; Desulfotomaculaceae.